Molecule: ribosomal RNA, 293 nt
Filed under: uncultured prokaryote
Description: partial 16S ribosomal RNA
Rfam family: Archaeal small subunit ribosomal RNA
Source: RNAcentral
GUGCCAGCCGCCGCGGUAAUACCGGCAGCUCGAGUGAUGACCGAUUUUAUUGGGCCUAAAGCGUCCGUAGCUGGCCGCGCAAGUCUGUCGGGAAAUCCACCCGCUUAACGGGUGGGCGUCCGGCGGAAACUGUGCGGCUUGGGACAGGAAGGCUCGAGGGGUACGUUCGGGGUAGGAGUGAAAUCCCGUAAUCCUGAACGGACCACCGAUGGCGAAAGCACCUCGAGAGGACUGAUCCGACAGUCAGGGACGAAAGCUGGGGUCUCGAACCGGAUUAGAAACCCGUGUAGUCC